RNAcentral lists this non-coding RNA (199 nucleotides) under Planctomycetota bacterium. RNAcentral describes it as "Planctomycetes bacterium (activated sludge metagenome) 6S RNA". It matches the Rfam family "6S / SsrS RNA". Rfam says of the family: E. coli 6S RNA was the first non coding RNA to be sequenced, but its function was unknown until recently. It consists of 184 nucleotides that fold into an extended hairpin structure with a large single-stranded internal bulge. Lineage: Bacteria; Pseudomonadati; Planctomycetota. The record is from RNAcentral.
AUGCCUCUGCCAUGUUCGUCACGGGCCUCGUAUUGUUGACCCUAUAAAAAUCCGCAGGGAACCGGAGUUUUCGCCUCGGCCGCGUGUAUAUCCGACGUUCGCUCAGCGAACUUUCGGCUCACACAACCCGAGCGAUGGUUCCCACGUUGUAUCGCGGGUUCAAACAAUAAGGCCUGAACGGCAUUACGGUGGAGGCGUU